Brassica oleracea var. oleracea is the source of this 107-nucleotide small nucleolar RNA. It matches the Rfam family "Plant small nucleolar RNA R71". Rfam says of the family: R71 is a member of the C/D box family of snoRNAs containing the C (UGAUGA) and D (CUGA) box motifs. Multiple nearly identical copies of this snoRNA have been identified in Arabidopsis, and it is thought to function as a 2'-O-ribose methylation guide for 18S ribosomal RNA. NCBI's taxonomy places the organism in Eukaryota, Viridiplantae, Streptophyta, Magnoliopsida, Brassicales, Brassicaceae. The record is from Rfam.
AAUCCAUGAUGAGGGCAUUGAGCUUGGUAGCCUUUGAAUCUCUCCCAGACUUCACUGAAUCCUUCCAAGUCUUUCUGUUGAAAGCUGGAGAUCUCAUUUCCCAGCUU